This 431-nucleotide ribosomal RNA is filed under the name Staphylococcus pseudintermedius. RNAcentral's name for it is "partial 23S ribosomal RNA". It matches the Rfam family "Bacterial large subunit ribosomal RNA", at positions 2347 to 2777 of the family's 2925-position model. Lineage: Bacteria; Bacillati; Bacillota; Bacilli; Caryophanales; Staphylococcaceae. The record is from RNAcentral.
GAGUGUAAAGGCAUAAGGGAGCUUGACUGCGAGACCUACAAGUCGAGCAGGGUCGAAAGACGGACUUAGUGAUCCGGUGGUUCCGCAUGGAAGGGCCAUCGCUCAACGGAUAAAAGCUACCCCGGGGAUAACAGGCUUAUCUCCCCCAAGAGUUCACAUCGACGGGGAGGUUUGGCACCUCGAUGUCGGCUCAUCGCAUCCUGGGGCUGUAGUCGGUCCCAAGGGUUGGGCUGUUCGCCCAUUAAAGCGGUACGCGAGCUGGGUUCAGAACGUCGUGAGACAGUUCGGUCCCUAUCCGUCGUGGGCGUAGGAAAUUUGAGAGGAGCUGUCCUUAGUACGAGAGGACCGGGAUGGACAUACCUCUGGUGUACCAGUUGUCGUGCCAACGGCAUAGCUGGGUAGCUAUGUAUGGACGGGAUAAGUGCUGAAAG